UGAUUGCUAACCAUGUUUUGCAAACUGAUUUGCAUCGAAGGAGUGUUGCUACAGGUAACAAAUAAAAUGUUUUGUGAGAAGACAUGAUUAGGAGGGAUUCGAAUAAUGUAACUAUAUAUGGUAGAUAAAUAGCGGAUCUUACAGCAUCUUCGAGGGGAAGAACAUGCUCAGUGGGCGUAUCAGUGUUGCAUUCUGCCAUUUUUCCAAUGGGAGCCUCUUCAAUCUCCUCAUUCUGGGAAUCCUGAUUUUUUUGAAGAAGGCAAGUAGAAUGAAAAAGGUGAAGGCAAUGGACUUGACGAAGCAGAUUUCCGUCUUCGUAUGCGCCUGGGGCAUAUGCAACACCAUACCUAUGACUAGCAGAGCAAAAUAUGAGUUCAUUAGAUAAAUAUAGCUUCAUCAAAACUGAUAAUGAACAUCUAGGUUUAUAAUUCUAGUGAAAAUAAAAGUUUACAAUGUUCUGCUAAAGCACUACAAUGUUCACAUGUUCUCUUGGAAGCUAGGAGAAGUUAUGAUUGUCCUCCAUUUUCAAUAUUGUUUAUUUUUCGGUGACAGCAGAAAGUUUGCAACAAUAUCUGCAAGCACGACAUAAUUAAAAUUAAAUAAAAAAAUAUUACCAGCAUAAUAUGUUGUCAUGUAUCAUUGAUCCAUCUUCUUGGAGCAUUUUCUUCAUUAUUUGCUGCAAUUAUGUAAAAGUUAGAGAAACCAUGUGAGGAUGAUGUAAAUUUUCUAAUAUCGUAUAGAAAUAAACAAAUUGAAUAAGGACUACAAAUUACAAAGACAUGAGAGUAUUUUUAGGGGUGUUAUUAAAAAUUAAAUCAAACAAUGAUGAAACAAUAGUUUUAAUUGGAUUUGAUAUUUCAAGAAGUAUAUUGGUAUAAGAGAUAUUAAAAAAAUUAAGGCAUUUACAAUUUUAAAAAUAUAGUGAAAAUUGUGUGUGUGAUAUUGAAGAAUAAAGUAAGAAGUAAAAUGUCAAGGGUUGGGCAAAAGUCGGGUCGGGUUAAAAGACCAUAAACAAAAGGAGUAAUAAAAUAAAAGCAAUCCAAAAUCCAAAUUAGUGGGGGCUUAGGGUUGCAUUAUCUAUCAUUUGGGUCCAAAUCCAUGACCAAGUAAGAUGACUUGAUGUCAAAAUGAAUUAUUAAAUUUACUUUAUCCCGAUUAGAGCUAGAGGAAUAUGAAAAAUUUAAAAUACAACAAUUUGGGAAAUGAUUUCCCAAAUGGAGAUAUUAAAUCACAAAUAGAAUAAAUAUUAUCAUAAUUCUCUUACUCUUUUCAACGGAACUUGAAGUAGGUUGCGAGAUCUGAGAUUAAUCGGAAGAUCCAGAAUCUGUAUUGAGUGUUUAAGCUUCCACGAAAAUCUAAAAAAUUCAUAAAAAGGCUUGAAGAAGAUGAUGAUUGAGCGUAAAUUGAGAAUAUCAAGGUGAUUUCCUCGAUUUUUAUGGAAUGGAUGCUUUAAACUCAAAAACAUAACAGUUGUUGCAUCCGAGGAAUUGUCGAAGGUAGAACCCUAAAAGUUGGAAGGGGUUUUUAAGAAGAAAAGGAUUUGAAGAAUUUUAGAGAAAGACUUUGCUAUGCUUGAGGUGAAAUGAAUUUACAUAUAUUGCACAUAUCUUAUAAAGAAGUAGUACCGGUUGUAACCGGUCAAAGGAAAGAUUACUGCUUAUAGACGGUAAAAAGGCUACAGCCCAAAUGCUUACAAGUAUGAGACCUGAUUUAUGCAAGAAGCCCACUAUAUUAAAAAUUUAAACAAGCUUCGAGAAAAUUCUAAGGAAUUCGAGAGAAUUCUUAGUAAAUAGAUCUGGUCUGAAGGGAAGAUUUAUCCUAGUUGUGGAAAAAUUAUAGCUUUCCAUGUCGAGGUGAUUGAUGGUUUGAUCCAUUAAGAAGGAAAAUAAAGUAAACAUUUUUUUUUCCAACAAAAAAGAAGUGAAAGACCAACCCACGGGGAGCAUUCAUCAUGGGUGUAAUCAAGAUUUUUGGGUGGGAUUUUCUUCAUCCAAGUUCUAUAUACAGUCAAAUUCUAUUUUUUCCUAAAAAUAAAAAGAAUAUAAAAAAUAGAAUUUACGUAAGUUAUUCAAAAUUCGGUGAAAAUCACCACUUGGCAAAUAAGUAUCCCAAGCGGGAUAAAAAAAAAUACACUGAGGGGCAGUCUGCACAUAUUCUUACUUAAGAAUGCACGAGAUACAUGUUCAGAAGAUAAAUGUUACUCAAAAGUUUUUGUUUUUUCUCUAUUUUUACGGUAAUGACAUUAUCCACCGGGACAAUACUCGUACAAGAGCUUCCUAAACAAGGCAAAUACAAAAAAAAGUAGCACUAAUACUUUACAUUAUUUUAUGCUAUGCAUUGUGAUUAAUCAAGGAUCCGAUCCUGCACUCCGGAAUUGAAGUAUUUACAUGCAUUCUUAUUCUGCUCUAUCCAAUAUUCUUUGCUUAAGUAUCCGAUCCCCCACUCAAGAAUUAUAUUCUUUUACUUCCUUGCUAUAUAAGGUCAUCAUGAUGCCAAGCUUACGGUCACUCUGUAAUUGAAGCAUAUACAGUAAGAAGAAAAUGAGUGAAACAGUUUUAGAGUUGCCAAGGUUUGUUGAGUUCCGGUCACAAUAUAGCAAUAACUUCUGUGGACGAAAAUCCUAAAACAAUCCGUCUUACCAAUGUUCAUGUCAAAAGCAAUUUGUGCUUGUGGCGAGCAGAGGGACCGUAUUAUGAAUGCGUGGCUGCAGGCUACUCAGUUCGGGAUUCUGCAAGCUGCGAUGUGUUUAAUGUCAUCGAUUGGCAGUCACUGGUGCUAAGGGUGACAAUGGUAAGUUUCUUCGGGCACUGUGGUUUCAAAAGCAUAACUAUCUUCAGUUUUUGGUGACUAAUGUGGAAGAUAAUCCGAUGCUAGUGGGGAAUGAGAUCUAUACGGACAUGCUUCACUGUAAUUUCCCCUCUUUCAAUACACUCGCGAGAGAAAUGAAACACUAUAUCAAAGUGUUUGCUCCUCUUGACAUGCUGCUCUGGUUGCUGCCAUAAACGCCUUACAUGAAUAUGGUGCGACAUUUGUGAAGCCCAAGAUAUUAAGCAUGCCAUCCGUGCUCCUUUUAUAAUUACCAAACACAGUUAAGUCACUCUACGAAUAACCAAAUUCAAAGUUAAUUGUGAGGAUCGCAUCCACUAUAGAUUGAUGUUAAUCAAACACAAUAACAAGCACACAAGUAAAGAACACAUACAAUAAACGUGGAAACCUCUCGAGGGAGGGUAAAAUCACAAACCACUAAAUAAGAAUGUAUUACAGGAUUGGAGUCGCCCCCUCACUCACACUCUAAAAUACAAGCACCACACAUGAUUUCAAUCCCCUGACAACUUGGAGAACCGUCAUUGUCACUUAGCAAUUCAAGUAUCAACUUGGAGGAGGGUUUUUGCUUCAUGAUCAUCAAUCAUGAUUUGGUGAUAUAUCUCUUGCAACUUCCAUUACGCUACUAGGUUGUCUUUUCUGGGAUUCGAUGCAGUGAGCUUUGACAAAAUCAGGGUCUGAUAUGAUUGCUAACCAUGUUUUGCAAACUGAUUUGCAUCGAAGGAGUGUUGCUACAGGUAACAAAUUAAAUGUUUUGUGAGAAGACAUGAUUAGGAGUGAUUCGAAUAAUGUAACUAUAUAUGGUAGAUAAGUAGCGGAUCUUACAGCAUCUUCGAGGGGAAGAACAUGCUCAGUAGGCGUAUCAGUGUUGCAUUCUGUCAUUUUUCCAAUGAGAGCCUCUUCAAUCUCCUCAUUCUGGGAAUCCUGAUUUUGUUGAAGAAGGCAAGUAGAAUGAGAAUGGUGAAGGCAAUGGAGUUAACGAAGCAGAUUUCCAUCUUCGUAUGCGCAUGAGGCAUAUGCAACACCAUACCUAUGACUAGCAGAGCAAAAUAUGAGUUCAUUAGAUAAAUAUAGCUUCAUCAAAACUGAUAAUGAAAAUCUAGGUUUAUAAUUCUAGUGAAAAUAAAGGUUUACACUAAAACAACACUACUAGAGUCCUGCAAAUGUUUAUUAACUUCCUGCAAAUGAGAAUUGAAUGUGAAACCUAAAUUAAAACAAGUAAUACAAUGUUCUGCUAAAGCACUACAAUAUUCACAUGUUCUCUUGGAAGCUAGGAGAAGUUAUGAUUGUCCUCCAUUUUCAAUAUUGUUUUUUUUCGGUGACAGCAGAAAGUUUGCAACAAUAUCUGCAAGCACGACAUAAUUAAAAUUAAAUAAAAAAAUGAUUACCAGCAUAAAAUGUUGUCAUAUAUCAUUGAUCCACCUUUUUGGAGCAUUUUCUUCAUUAUUCGCUGCAAUUUUGUAACAUAUAUAUAUGUAUUAGAAUCAAGAUGAUAUGUCUACAAUAUCUUCUAGUUAAAAAUUUUAAGAUGCAAAUGUCAAGGGUUGGGCAAAAGUCGGGUCGGGCUAAAAGACCAUAAACAAAAGGAGAAAUAAAAUAAAAACAAUCUAAAAUCCAAAAUAGUGAGGGCUUGGGGUUGCAAUAUCUUUCAUUUGGGUCCAAAUCCAUGACCAAGUAAGAUGGCUUGAUGUCAAAAUGAAUUAUUAAAUUUACUUUAUCCCGAUUAGAGCUAGAGGAAUAUGGAAAAAUUUAAAAUACAACAAUUUGGGAUAUGAUUUCCCAAAUGGAGAUAUUAAAUCACAAAUAGAAUAAAUAUUAUCAUAAUUCUCUUACACUUUUCAACGGAACUUGAAGUAGGUUGCGAGAUCUGAGAUUGAUCGGAAGAUCCAGAAUCUGUAUUGAGUGUUUAAGCUUCCACGAAAAUCUAGAAAAUUCAUAAAAAGGCUUGAAGAAGAUGAUGAUUGAGCGUAAAUUGAGAAUAUCAAGGUGAUUUCCUAGAUCUUUAUGGAAUGGAUGCUUGAAACUGAAAAACAUAACAGUUGUCGCAUUCGAGGAAUUGUCGAAGGUAGAACCCUAAAAGUUGGAAGGGGUUUUCAAGAAGAAAAGGAUUUGAAGAAUUUUAGAGAAAGACUUUGCUAUGCUUGAGGUGAAAUGAAUUUACAUAUGUUGCACAUAUUUUAUAAAGAAGUAGUACCGGUUGUAACCGGUCAAAGAAAAGAUUACCGCUUAUAGACAGUAAAAAGGCUACGGCCCAAAUGCUUACAAGUAUGAGACCUGAUUGAGGCAAGAAGCCCACUAUAUUAAAAUUUUAAACAAGCUUCGGGAAAAUUCUAAGGAAUUCGGGAGAAUUCUUAGUAUAUAACGAAAACUAUUAACCAAAUGACCCAAGUAAAAAGAUAAUCCUGAUUAGUGGUUAUGACGAAUGAUUGUCGAUCUCGUUAAAUUAGGUGUCUGGCUUUAACUCUAAAGUCUAUUUUUAUGAAGUAUACCCUUAACCAUGUAAUUCAUUCUAUUGAGCAAAAUAAGGUUAAAAAGAAUUCGUCCGAAAAAUAUUAAAGAUCGGGCCUACAAAGUAUAGAAAUAAAUCUGGUCUGAAGGGAGGAUUUAUCCUAGUUGUGGAAAAAUUAUAACUUUCCAUGUCGAGAUGAUUGACGGUUUGAUCCAUUAAGAAGAAAAAUAAAAUAAAAUUUUUUUUUUCCAACAAAAAAAGAAGUGAAAGACCAACCCGCAUGGAGCAUUCAUCAUGGGUGUGGCUUAAUCAAGAUUUUUGGGUGGGAUUUUCUUCAUCCAGGUUCUAUCUACAGUUAAAUUCUAUUUUUUCCUAAAAAUAAAAAGAAUAUAAAAAAUAGAAUUUACAUAAGUUAUUCAAAAUUCGGUGAAAACCCCCACUUGGCAAAUAAGUAUCCCAAGCGGGAUAAAAAAAAUACACUGAGGCACAGCCUGCACAUGUUCUUACUAAAGAAUGCACGAGACACAGUUCCUCAAAAGUUUUUUUUUUUUUUUCUUUUUUACGGUAAUGACAUUAUCCACCGGGACAAUACUCGUAUAAGAGCUUCCCAGACGGUUGUAUCCACCGGGAUAAAUUGUGUUCUAUUUUUACUCUAAACAAGGCAAAUACAAAAAAGUAGCACUAAUACUUUACAUUAUUCUGCUCUAUCCAAUAUUCUUUGCUUAAGUAUCCGAUCCCCCACUCAAGAAUUAUAAUCUUUUACUUCCUUUGCUAUAUAAAGUCAUCAUGAUGCCAAGCUUACAGUCACUCUAUAAUUGAAGCAUAUACAGUGAGAAGAAAAUGAGAGAAACAGUUUUAGAGUUGCCAAGGUUUGUUGAGUUCCGGUCACAAUAUAGCAAUAACUUCUGUGGACGAAAAUCCUAAAACAAUCCGUCUUACCAAUGUUCAUGUCAAAAGCAAUUUGUGCUUGUGGCGAUCGAGCAGAGGGACCUUAUUAUGCAUGCGUGGCUGCAGGCUACUCAGUUCGGGAUUCUGCUAACAUUAAAAAACAUCAAAUACUAGGCAGCUUCUUUGGGAAUCUGAGCAAAUAACUACCUUAUUAUCAGGUAGAGCACCUGAAUUUAUGAGGUUUAAAACAUGCAGAAUUGCCUCCACUUCCCUGCAAAUUCCACCACGCAUGUCCCCCCAUUUACUAACUGAAUAUGCCGCAUCAACCAUGCAAAUUACUGAGUAUACACUACUCCUCACUUCCCUGCAGAGAAUAGAUUCAUGUCCUUUCUGUGAUGCACAUUUAGAGCACCUAUAGGGUUUACUCUCCAGAGUGGCCCCUGCCCAAAUGACAUGAUGUUUGAAGCACUGCCCCAUUUAGCAACUCGAAUGAAUAUCAACUCCUGAAUUUUUUUUUCUUUAAUCUUUAUCUUAUUAAAGAUUUGGUCGUCUCUGGCUACCCAGAUAGACCACAGCGAAGCCGAUAUCACCAUACGCCAUACUUUGGAGAUAAAACGUGGCCUGUUCAGUUUAAGUAAGGCCAUGAGAUUGAAAUUGCUGAAGCCUGUCAUCGUGGUUUUAAGGUUCCACCAAUUACUUAUAAAAGACCAAGCCCAUUUUGCUAGUUGGCAGUCCCAAAGCAGGUGAGACGAAGUUUCUAUUUGUUGGCAGAAAACCCCGAAUUCUGCUGCUAAGGAAGUGAUUUAGAAUUAUAAAGUAUUUUUAAAUUCUCAAGUGCUCAGUUAAGUACUCAAUCACGUACGUAUGAUUUAGAAUUAUAAAGUAUUUUUAAAUUCUCAAUGUUGAAAUUUUAUCAAGAAUAUAAGACUAAAAGGUUUUUAACUUAAGAAUGUAUUUUCAGAAAAUAUUUUAUUUUCAAUAAUAAGUAACUUGAUGUAUUGUCAUAACAUAAAUUUAUCAACUAGAGUAGCUAGGAUGUUCCAAUGACAGUCUUAAAGAAUACAUGGAAGGAUGAGAAAAAUAGCAGUAAUACUUUACAUUAUUCUACGCUAUGCAUUGUGAUUUAUCAAGGAUCCGAUCCUGGCCUGGAGGAUCCUUUUUCUUUUCUGUGAAGGCAGGGAAUUGAAGUAUUUCAUCUGUCAUAAAGGGUCAUCAGAUAUAAAGCAUACAUGCUGAAAAAGUAGUAUUUGGUAGAAUUUCUCUAACAAUAUUCUUAUAUUUUAUAUUCAAUUUAACAUAAUAAUAAACUUAAAAUUAUUAAAAUUAAUUUGUAUUAUAAUAUCAAACUAUUUAAUCAGGAUUCUUAAAAUAUUUUUUUACAGCAGGUCAAGAAAAAUAGAAGCACGGCUGUAGAACUAGCUUUUCAUUGCCAAACAUGCUCUAUGUUUUGCUCUAUUUGAUAUCCAUGUGCUCAAGCAGUCGAGCAUCCGAUCCCCACUCAAGAAUUAUAAUCUUUUUCCUUUGUUUUAAAAGGUCAUCAUGAUGCCAAGCUUACGGUCAUCCUAUAAUUGAAGCAAAUACAUCUGAUAUAUGUACGGUGAGAAGAAAAUGAGUGAACUAGUUGUAGAGCUGCCAAGGUUUGUUGAGUUGCGGUCACAAUAUAGCAAUAAGUUAUUGAAAUAUGUAAAGAAAGAGGGGGAGGUGAAGGGGUUUGUCCAGUUCUCUGGCGAUCAUGUAGGAGCCCAGACGCAAAAGUGCAACAUUUGAGAAGCCCAAGAUAUUAGGCAUGCCAUCGGUGCUCCUAUAACCACCAAACACAGUUAAGUCACUCUACGAAUAACCAAAUUCAAAGUUAAUUGUGUUAGGAUCACAUCCACUAUAAAUUGACGUUAAACAAACACAAUAACAGGCACGCAAAUAAAGAACACAUACAAUAAACGUGGAAACCUCUCGAGGGAGGGUAAAAUCACAAACCACUAAAUAAGAAUGUAUUACAAGAUUGGAGUCACCCCUUACUCACACUCUAAACUUACAAGCACGACACAUGAUUUCAGUCCCAUGACAACUUGGAGAACCGUCAUUGUCACUUGACAAUUCAAGUAUCAACUUGGAGGAGGGUUUUUCUUUCAUGAUCAUCAAUCAUGAUUUAAUGAUAUAUCUCUCGCAACUUCCAUUACGCUACUAGGUUGUCUUUUCUGGGAUUCGAUGCAGUGAGCUUUGACAAAAUCAGGGUCUGAUAUGAUUGCUAACCAUGUUUUGCAAACUGAUUUGCAUCGAAGGAGUGUUGCUACAGGUAACAAAUAAAAUGUUUUGUGAGAAGACAUGAUUAGGAGUGAUUCGAAUAAUGUAACUAUAUAUGGUAGAUAAGUAGCGGAUCUUACAGCAUCUUCGAGGGGAAGAACAUGCUCAGUAGGCGUAUCAGUGUUGCAUUCUGUCAUUUUUCCAAUGAGAGCCUCUUCAAUCUCCUCAUUCUGGGAAUCCUGAUUUUGUUGAAGAAGGCAAGUAGAAUGAGAAUGGUGAAGGCAAUGGAGUUAACGAAGCAGAUUUCCAUCUUCGUAUGCGCAUGAGGCAUAUGCAACACCAUACCUAUGACUAGCAGAGCAAAAUAUGAGUUCAUUAGAUAAAUAUAGCUUCAUCAAAACUGAUAAUGAAAAUCUAGGUUUAUAAUUCUAGUGAAAAUAAAGGUUUACACUAAAACAACACUACUAGAGUCCUGCAAAUGUUUAUUAACUUCCUGCAAAUGAGAAUUGAAUGUGAAACCUAAAUUAAAACAAGUAAUACAAUGUUCUGCUAAAGCACUACAAUAUUCACAUGUUCUCUUGGAAGCUAGGAGAAUUUAUGAUUGUCCUCCAUUUUCAAUAUUGUUUUUUUUCGGUGACAGCAGAAAGUUUGCAACAAUAUCUGCAAGCACGACAUAAUUAAAAUUAAAUAAAAAAAUGAUUACCAGCAUAAAAUGUUGUCAUAUAUCAUUGAUCCACCUUUUUGGAGCAUUUUCUUCAUUAUUCGCUGCAAUUUUGUAACAUAUAUAUAUGUAUUAGAAUCAAGAUGAUAUGUCUACAAUAUCUUCUAGUUAAAAAUUUUAAGAUGCAAAUGUCAAGGGUUGGGCAAAAGUCGGGUCGGGCUAAAAGACCAUAAACAAAAGGAGAAAUAAAAUAAAAACAAUCUAAAAUCCAAAAUAGUGAGGGCUUGGGGUUGCAAUAUCUUUCAUUUGGGUCCAAAUCCAUGACCAAGUAAGAUGGCUUGAUGUCAAAAUGAAUUAUUAAAUUUACUUUAUCCCGAUUAGAGCUAGAGGAAUAUGGAAAAAUUUAAAAUACAACAAUUUGGGAUAUGAUUUCCCAAAUGGAGAUAUUAAAUCACAAAUAGAAUAAAUAUUAUCAUAAUUCUCUUACACUUUUCAACGGAACUUGAAGUAGGUUGCGAGAUCUGAGAUUGAUCGGAAGAUCCAGAAUCUGUAUUGAGUGUUUAAGCUUCCACGAAAAUCUAGAAAAUUCAUAAAAAGGCUUGAAGAAGAUGAUGAUUGAGCGUAAAUUGAGAAUAUCAAGGUGAUUUCUUAGAUCUUUAUGGAAUGGAUGCUUGAAACUGAAAAACAUAACAGUUGUCGCAUUCGAGGAAUUGUCGAAGGUAGAACCCUAAAAGUUGGAAGGGGUUUUCAAGAAGAAAAGGAUUUGAAGAAUUUUAGAGAAAGACUUUGCUAUGCUUGAGGUGAAAUGAAUUUACAUAUGUUGCACAUAUUUUAUAAAGAAGUAGUACCGGUUGUAACCGGUCAAAGAAAAGAUUACCGCUUAUAGACAGUAAAAAGGCUACGGCCCAAAUGCUUACAAGUAUGAGACCUGAUUGAGGCAAGAAGCCCACUAUAUUAAAAUUUUAAACAAGCUUCGGGAAAAUUCUAAGGAAUUCGGGAGAAUUCUUAGUAUAUAACGAAAACUAUUAACCAAAUGACCCAAGUAAAAAGAUAAUCCUGAUUAGUGGUUAUGACGAAUGAUUGUCGAUCUCGUUAAAUUAGGUGUCUGGCUUUAACUCUAAAGUCUAUUUUUAUGAAGUAUACCCUUAACCAUGUAAUUCAUUCUAUUGAGCAAAAUAAGGUUAAAAAGAAUUCGUCCGAAAAAUAUUAAAGAUCGGGCCUACAAAGUAUAGAAAUAAAUCUGGUCUGAAGGGAGGAUUUAUCCUAGUUGUGGAAAAAUUAUAACUUUCCAUGUCGAGAUGAUUGACGGUUUGAUCCAUUAAGAAGAAAAAUAAAAUAAAAUUUUUUUUUUCCAACAAAAAAAGAAGUGAAAGACCAACCCGCAUGGAGCAUUCAUCAUGGGUGUGGCUUAAUCAAGAUUUUUGGGUGGGAUUUUCUUCAUCCAGGUUCUAUCUACAGUUAAAUUCUAUUUUUUCCUAAAAAUAAAAAGAAUAUAAAAAAUAGAAUUUACAUAAGUUAUUCAAAAUUCGGUGAAAACCCCCACUUGGCAAAUAAGUAUCCCAAGCGGGAUAAAAAAAAUACACUGAGGCACAGCCUGCACAUGUUCUUACUAAAGAAUGCACGAGACACAGUUCCUCAAAAGUUUUUUUUUUUUUUUCUUUUUUACGGUAAUGACAUUAUCCACCGGGACAAUACUCGUAUAAGAGCUUCCCAGACGGUUGUAUCCACCGGGAUAAAUUGUGUUCUAUUUUUACUCUAAACAAGGCAAAUACAAAAAAGUAGCACUAAUACUUUACAUUAUUCUGCUCUAUCCAAUAUUCUUUGCUUAAGUAUCCGAUCCCCCACUCAAGAAUUAUAAUCUUUUACUUCCUUUGCUAUAUAAAGUCAUCAUGAUGCCAAGCUUACAGUCACUCUAUAAUUGAAGCAUAUACAGUGAGAAGAAAAUGAGAGAAACAGUUUUAGAGUUGCCAAGGUUUGUUGAGUUCCGGUCACAAUAUAGCAAUAACUUCUGUGGACGAAAAUCCUAAAACAAUCCGUCUUACCAAUGUUCAUGUCAAAAGCAAUUUGUGCUUGUGGCGAUCGAGCAGAGGGACCUUAUUAUGCAUGCGUGGCUGCAGGCUACUCAGUUCGGGAUUCUGCUAACAUUAAAAAACAUCAAAUACUAGGCAGCUUCUUUGGGAAUCUGAGCAAAUAACUACCUUAUUAUCAGGUAGAGCACCUGAAUUUAUGAGGUUUAAAACAUGCAGAAUUGCCUCCACUUCCCUGCAAAUUCCACCACGCAUGUCCCCCCAUUUACUAACUGAAUAUGCCGCAUCAACCAUGCAAAUUACUGAGUAUACACUACUCCUCACUUCCCUGCAGAGAAUAGAUUCAUGUCCUUUCUGUGAUGCACAUUUAGAGCACCUAUAGGGUUUACUCUCCAGAGUGGCCCCUGCCCAAAUGACAUGAUGUUUGAAGCACUGCCCCAUUUAGCAACUCGAAUGAAUAUCAACUCCUGAAUUUUUUUUUCUUUAAUCUUUAUCUUAUUAAAGAUUUGGUCGUCUCUGGCUACCCAGAUAGACCACAGCGAAGCCGAUAUCACCAUACGCCAUACUUUGGAGAUAAAACGUGGCCUGUUCAGUUUAAGUAAGGCCAUGAGAUUGAAAUUGCUGAAGCCUGUCAUCGUGGUUUUAAGGUUCCACCAAUUACUUAUAAAAGACCAAGCCCAUUUUGCUAGUUGGCAGUCCCAAAGCAGGUGAGACGAAGUUUCUAUUUGUUGGCAGAAAACCCCGAAUUCUGCUGCUAAGGAAGUGAUUUAGAAUUAUAAAGUAUUUUUAAAUUCUCAAGUGCUCAGUUAAGUACUCAAUCACGUACGUAUGAUUUAGAAUUAUAAAGUAUUUUUAAAUUCUCAAUGUUGAAAUUUUAUCAAGAAUAUAAGACUAAAAGGUUUUUAACUUAAGAAUGUAUUUUCAGAAAAUAUUUUAUUUUCAAUAAUAAGUAACUUGAUGUAUUGUCAUAACAUAAAUUUAUCAACUAGAGUAGCUAGGAUGUUCCAAUGACAGUCUUAAAGAAUACAUGGAAGGAUGAGAAAAAUAGCAGUAAUACUUUACAUUAUUCUACGCUAUGCAUUGUGAUUUAUCAAGGAUCCGAUCCUGGCCUGGAGGAUCCUUUUUCUUUUCUGUGAAGGCAGGGAAUUGAAGUAUUUCAUCUGUCAUAAAGGGUCAUCAGAUAUAAAGCAUACAUGCUGAAAAAGUAGUAUUUGGUAGAAUUUCUCUAACAAUAUUCUUAUAUUUUAUAUUCAAUUUAACAUAAUAAUAAACUUAAAAUUAUUAAAAUUAAUUUGUAUUAUAAUAUCAAACUAUUUAAUCAGGAUUCUUAAAAUAUUUUUUUACAGCAGGUCAAGAAAAAUAGAAGCACGGCUGUAGAACUAGCUUUUCAUUGCCAAACAUGCUCUAUGUUUUGCUCUAUUUGAUAUCCAUGUGCUCAAGCAGUCGAGCAUCCGAUCCCCACUCAAGAAUUAUAAUCUUUUUCCUUUGUUUUAAAAGGUCAUCAUGAUGCCAAGCUUACGGUCAUCCUAUAAUUGAAGCAAAUACAUCUGAUAUAUGUACGGUGAGAAGAAAAUGAGUGAACUAGUUGUAGAGCUGCCAAGGUUUGUUGAGUUGCGGUCACAAUAUAGCAAUAAGUUAUUGAAAUAUGUAAAGAAAGAGGGGGAGGUGAAGGGGUUUGUCCAGUUCUCUGGCGAUCAUGUAGGAGCCCAGACGCAAAAGUGCAACAUUUGAGAAGCCCAAGAUAUUAGGCAUGCCAUCGGUGCUCCUAUAACCACCAAACACAGUUAAGUCACUCUACGAAUAACCAAAUUCAAAGUUAAUUGUGUUAGGAUCACAUCCACUAUAAAUUGACGUUAAACAAACACAAUAACAGGCACGCAAAUAAAGAACACAUACAAUAAACGUGGAAACCUCUCGAGGGAGGGUAAAAUCACAAACCACUAAAUAAGAAUGUAUUACAAGAUUGGAGUCACCCCUUACUCACACUCUAAACUUACAAGCACGACACAUGAUUUCAGUCCCAUGACAACUUGGAGAACCGUCAUUGUCACUUGACAAUUCAAGUAUCAACUUGGAGGAGGGUUUUUCUUUCAUGAUCAUCAAUCAUGAUUUAAUGAUAUAUCUCUCGCAACUUCCAUUACGCUACUAGGUUGUCUUUUCUGGGAUUCGAUGCAGUGAGCUUUGACAAAAUCAGGGUCUGAUAUGAUUGCUAACCAUGUUUUGCAAACUGAUUUGCAUCGAAGGAGUGUUGCUACAGGUAACAAAUAAAAUGUUUUGUGAGAAGACAUGAUUAGGAGGGAUUCGAAUAAUGUAACUAUAUAUGGUAGAUAAAUAGCGGAUCUUACAGCAUCUUCGAGGGGAAGAACAUGCUCAGUGGGCGUAUCAGUGUUGCAUUCUGCCAUUUUUCCAAUGAGAGCCUCUUCAAUCUCCUCAAUCUGGGAAUCCUGAUUUUGUUGAAGAAGGCAAGUAGAAUGACAAAAGGUGAAGGCAAUGGAGUUGACGAAGCAGAUUUCCGUCUUCGUAUGCGCAUGAGGCAUAUGCAACACCAUACCUAUGACUAGCAGAGCAAAAUAUGAGUUCAUGAGAUAAAUAUAGCUUCAUCAAAACUGAU
Molecule: long non-coding RNA, 13700 nt
Filed under: Daucus carota (carrot)
Lineage: Eukaryota; Viridiplantae; Streptophyta; Magnoliopsida; Apiales; Apiaceae
Description: long non-coding RNA (DCAR_LNC000834)
Source: RNAcentral